CUCACCAAAACUUUUUAUCUUUUUACAGAAACAAGAUGAUGGACAAAAUGUGUCAUCUGCUUUACUGAAGAACGUGGAGAAGAAGUCUUUCUGUAGCCGGCCUGUGAAGAUUCCUUGCUUUUGUCUGAUUAUCUGCUCCGUGGUGGUCGCCUCUUUGCUGUCCGGCUUGUUUUAUGUGUGUUUGGUCGACUUCCGGGGACCCCCAUGUGAAGAGUCCUGGAUUUGGGUUGGAGGUCGCUGUUACUACUUCUCAGAUGAUUCUAAGUCCUGGAAUGACAGCCUGGAGUUCUGCACUACACAUGGCUCCACACUGGCCGUGCAUAGAGAUCAGGAGAUAAAGAAAACCAUAGAAAGAUACCGGGAAAAUGUUAAUUACUGGAUUGGGCUCAGCAUAAACCAGGACGGGCGGUGGAUGUGGACUGACGGUUCUCUGCAUGAUGGCAGUGUGGAUAAUGAGAACAUCAGCCUCCUGAGAUGCGCUUACCUGAACUCCCACCUGGGGGCGCUAGACUGCUCUACAAGACGUCAAUGGAUUUGUGUGCAGAACUCCGCCAGGUAGCAGCCGAUUCCAUAUUGGAAGCCCAGAACCUGGGAGAAGAUGGAGACAUCACCAUGAGAUUCCCGGGGUCUUAUUCUGGAGGCACUGGGCUACUUGAAGGGGGUUUUCUGAUCAUCUCAUUGACAUAUCAUAAGACUGUGCUGGAGAAAGCACUAAUGGUGCUGAUGGGGGUGAUAGUGGUGCUGAUGGGGGUGAUAGUGGUGCUGAUGUUACAUAGUUAAUACAGUUGAAAAAAGACAUAAGUCCAUCAAGUUCAACCAAGGGCUAGGGGGGGACGCGAAUCCCUGAAGGA
Molecule: long non-coding RNA, 851 nt
Organism: Bufo bufo (common toad)
Lineage: Eukaryota; Metazoa; Chordata; Amphibia; Anura; Bufonidae
Exons: 6
Source: RefSeq, a predicted model, not a curated record